GUGAACGCUGGCGGCAGGCCUAACACAUGCAAGUCGAGCGGCAGCGCGGGGGCAACCCUGGCGGCGAGCGGCGGACGGGUGAGGAAUUCGUCGGAAUCUGCCUUCUUGUGGGGGAUAACGUAGGGAAACUUACGCUAAUACCGCAUACGUCCUACGGGAGAAAGUGGGGGACCGCAAGGCGUGGCGCAGAGGGAUGAGCCGACGACCGAUCAGCUAGUUGGUGGGGUAGAGGCCUACCAAGGCUACGAUCGGUAGCCGGCCCGAGAGGGUGAUCGGCCACAUUGGGACUAAGAGACGGCCCAGGAGCCUACGGGAGGCAGCAGUGGGGAAUAUUGCACAAUGGGCGGAAGCCGGAUGCAGCAACGCCGGGGGCGGGAUGACGGCCUGCGGGUUGUAAACCGCUUUCGCCUGUGACGAAGCGUGAGUGACGGUAAUGGGUAAAGAAGCACCGGCUAACUACGUG
Molecule: ribosomal RNA, 463 nt
Filed under: uncultured bacterium
Lineage: Bacteria
Description: partial 16S ribosomal RNA
Rfam family: Bacterial small subunit ribosomal RNA
Source: RNAcentral